RNAcentral lists this ribosomal RNA (253 nucleotides) under uncultured bacterium. Its description in RNAcentral is "partial 16S ribosomal RNA". It matches the Rfam family "Bacterial small subunit ribosomal RNA", at positions 524 to 776 of the family's 1533-position model. The record is from RNAcentral.
UACAGAGGGGGCAAGCGUUGUUCGGAAUUACUGGGCGUACAGGGAGCGUAGGCGGUUGGAUAAGCCCUCCGUGAAAUCUCCAGGCUUAACCUGGAAAGUGCAGAGGGGACUGUUCAGCUAGAGGAUGGGAGAGGAGCGCGGAAUUCCCGGUGUAGCGGUGAAAUGCGUAGAGAUCGGGAGGAAGGCCGGUGGCGAAGGCGGCGCUCUGGAACAUUUCUGACGCUGAGGCUCGAAAGCGUGGGGAGCAAACAGG